AUGAGAGUAGUAAGCUGGAACUGCCGGGGACUCGGGAACGGCCCGACAGUUCGAGGCCUCUUGGAUCUCAAGAGGGCGGAGGAUCCCGAUGUGGUGUUCUUGUGUGAAACAAAACUGUUUGAGAAGGAGAUGGAGAAGUAUCAGUGGAAGCUGGGACUGGUGAACAUGUGUGUGAGAAAUCCGGAUGGUAGGAGCAGAGGACUAGCUAUUAUGUGGAAGCGGGGAAUCAACCUCUCGCUGUGGUCCAUGGGAAGG
This 255-nucleotide ribosomal RNA is filed under the name Triticum aestivum (bread wheat). Its description in RNAcentral is "partial small subunit ribosomal RNA". Lineage: Eukaryota; Viridiplantae; Streptophyta; Magnoliopsida; Poales; Poaceae. The record is from RNAcentral.